CUACGGGGGGCUGCAGUGGGGAAUAUUGGACAAUGGGCGAAAGCCUGAUCCAGCCAUGCCGCGUGAGUGAAGAAGGCCUUCGGGUUGUAAAGCUCUUUCGGCGGGGACGAUGAUGACGGUACCCGCAUAAGAAGCCCCGGCAAACUUCGUGCCAGCAGCGGCGGUAAUACGAAGGGGGCUGGCGUUGUUCGGAAUUACUGGGCGUAAAGAGAACGUAGGCGGUGUUCCAUGUCAGAGGUGAAAGCCUGGGGCUCAACUCCAGAAUUGCCUUUGAAACGGGGACGCUUGAGUCCGAGAGAGGGUGGCGGAAUUCCUAGUGUAGAGGUGAAAUUCGUAGAUAUUAGGAAGAACACCAGUGGCGAAGGCGGCCACCUGGCUCGGUACUGACGCUCAGGUUCGAAAGCGUGGGGAGCAAACAGGAUUAGAUACCCCCGUAGUC
RNAcentral lists this ribosomal RNA (439 nucleotides) under uncultured bacterium. RNAcentral's name for it is "partial 16S ribosomal RNA". It matches the Rfam family "Bacterial small subunit ribosomal RNA", at positions 339 to 795 of the family's 1533-position model. The record is from RNAcentral.